This 21-nucleotide microRNA is filed under the name Sarcophilus harrisii (Tasmanian devil). Its description in RNAcentral is "Sha-Mir-12475-P9_3p* (star (passenger))". The record is from RNAcentral. Lineage: Eukaryota; Metazoa; Chordata; Mammalia; Dasyuromorphia; Dasyuridae.
CAAUGUGUUUCAGAGUGUAGU